UACGAAGGGGGCUAGCGUUGCCCGGAAUUACUGGGCGUAAAGCGCACGUAGGCGGUCUUUUAAGUCGGGGGUGAAAUCCUGGAGCUCAACUCCAGAACUGCCUUCGAUACUGGAAGACUUGAGUCCGGGAGAGGUGAGUGGAACUGCGAGUGUAGAGGUGAAAUUCGUAGAUAUUCGCAAGAACACCAGUGGCGAAGGCGGCUCACUGGCCCGGUACUGACGCUGAGGUGCGAAAGCGUGGGGAGCAAACAGG
This 253-nucleotide ribosomal RNA is filed under the name uncultured bacterium. Its description in RNAcentral is "partial 16S ribosomal RNA". It matches the Rfam family "Bacterial small subunit ribosomal RNA", at positions 524 to 776 of the family's 1533-position model. The record is from RNAcentral.